This 497-nucleotide ribosomal RNA is filed under the name uncultured bacterium. RNAcentral's name for it is "partial 16S ribosomal RNA". It matches the Rfam family "Bacterial small subunit ribosomal RNA", at positions 28 to 507 of the family's 1533-position model. The record is from RNAcentral.
GACGAACGCUGGCGGCGUGCCUAAUACAUGCAAGUAGAACGCUGAAGCGAGGAGCUUGCUCUUCUUGGAUGAGUUGCGAACGGGUGAGUAACGCGUAGGUAACCUGCCUUGUAGCGGGGGAUAACUAUUGGAAACGAUAGCUAAUACCGCAUAACAAUGGAUGACACAUGUCAUUUAUUUGAAAGGGGCAAUUGCUCCACUUCAAGAUGGACCUGCGUUGUAUUAGCUAGUAGGUGAGGUAACGGCUCACCUAGGCGACGAUACAUAGCCGACCGGAGAGGGGGGACCGCCAACAUGGGACUGGAGCCAGGGCCAGGACCCCAAGGGAAGGAGCAAGAGGGAAUCUUGGGCAAAGGGGGGAACGCUGACCGAGGAAAGGCGGGGGGGUGAAGGAGGUUUUCGGAUCGUGAAACUCUGUUGUAAGUCAAGGACGAGUGUGGGAGUGGAAAGUUCACACUGUGACGGUAGCUUACCAGAAAGGGACGGCUAACUACGUG